This 75-nucleotide transfer RNA is filed under the name Patescibacteria group bacterium. Its description in RNAcentral is "tRNA-Thr". It matches the Rfam family "tRNA". Rfam says of the family: Transfer RNA (tRNA) molecules are approximately 80 nucleotides in length. Their secondary structure includes four short double-helical elements and three loops (D, anti-codon, and T loops). The record is from RNAcentral.
GCCAGCGUAGCUCAGUGGCAGAGCACUCCCAUGGUAAGGGAAAGGUCGGAGGUUCGAUCCCUCUCGCUGGCUCCA